Molecule: unclassified non-coding RNA, 240 nt
Filed under: Hevea brasiliensis (rubber tree)
Lineage: Eukaryota; Viridiplantae; Streptophyta; Magnoliopsida; Malpighiales; Euphorbiaceae
Source: RNAcentral
AGCUGAGCCGGAGUCAGCCGCGAAGAGCAAUGAAGGAGUCCAGGAUCACGCUAGUACGGAAAUGGCCGGACUUGGAUUGGAGUUGACCCUGGGGCUUGAGCCCUUGUCGCGUGCAAGUCACGUGGUGCCCGUGAAGAAAAGGAAACUCGAGGCUUAUGGCUAUGGGUCGUCUGACGAUGAAUCGUGUAAGAUAGAGCUGGGAUUAGACUGUCCGGCUCGUCACUAAAAAUAAACAAAAAA